This is an RNA transcript of Mandrillus leucophaeus (drill), 2241 nucleotides long. RefSeq lists it as uncharacterized. The transcript has a single exon. The record is from RefSeq and is a predicted model, not a curated record. Lineage: Eukaryota; Metazoa; Chordata; Mammalia; Primates; Cercopithecidae.
UCUUUUCACAUAAUGUAGAUUGGAGGUUAUUCCGUGUGAAGCCACUGGAGCCCCUGGGCUCUGCUGCUGUGACCUUUCUGUUCAGGGAUAUCUCCAGCUUAUUUGAGCCGUAUUAGCAAAGCGACGGGAAACCAGCCCCACGUACCCAUCCCUGGAGCCAGCGUGUCCACCUUCUGUGUCCUCCACGCCUCCAAAUCCCCACGCUGGGGUGUGACACUCAUUCUAGCCUAAUUUCAUCCAUUAUUGUUUCCCUGAUGUAUCUCAAAGAGAGAAAAACGUUCAAAAGACCAUAAAACCACCAUUCCACCACAGAAUUCCAAAUAUCCAAUCAAUGUUCAGAUCUUCCUCAUUGCCUUAUAAAUUGCUUCAUGUUUUAAGUUUGCUUGCUGGAAUCCGGCAGUGCCCGUGUGACCUCUACGACACGACCUUUCUUUCUGUCUCCCCGACGCCAACGCUCUUUUCAGUUCAGCUAAAGAAGGGCUUGUGCACCCUCUGCACUCGCCGACCGGGGCCCUGUGGUUUUGCGUGUUCUGCUCCGUCCUAUUGAGAGGUGGUCAGACCGAGGCCACCUCAGGCUCCCCUGCGAUUCCGUUCGGCAGGAGCACCUCGGGGGUCUCAGGGCACCUCUGUGGCGCUGCUGUUGUGCCUUCCUCCACCGUUAGCUGGACUAGUAAAGAGAAACCCAAGGUUCACGUUCCUCACUAAAACACCCGCUCUUCGAUUAUACGGAUGUUUCAUGCAUUUGUGAUACAGUUACUCACUGAUGUACAUUUUGGCCAUUUGUAAUCAUUCACUGUUUAAAAUGCUGCUGGAGUAUUUGUAUAUAUACAUAAUUUCGCUCAAGUGGCUCUCUGUGGAAUAAAUUCUAAAAAUUUCUGGGUCAAAGGGCACACACAUUCAGCCCCAAUCUUGCUGUUCACCACCUGCAGCGGCUGUGCCAACCCACCCCCACCAGCGAUGAAGCACCUGCCUCGUGCCCUUACAGGGAGGGAAAGCAUCUUCUCACAUAUUUAUGAACUGCUUUAUUUCCCUUUUAGUAAAUUAUUCUUGUCAUUAGCCCAUUUUUCUAUUGGUCGGUAUUUUCAUAAGGAAAGCUCUCUGACGUGCUGCGAAUUUUUCUGCCAUUUGACAUUUUUAUAUUUAUGCCAUUGUGAUAUCAUCAAAUUAAAUGACUUUCAUUUAUGGAGUUUGAGUCAUUCUGAGACAAUCACUCCUGGUUGUGAAAUUCAAAAAAACCACAUUGUCCAAUUUUGCUUCUGGGAUUUCUACUUUUUAAUUACAUCUUUAAUACAACUGGAAUUUCUUUUGGUAAAGAGAUUACAGAUGCAAAUUUUUCUUUCCAUUUGGAUACCUAAUUGUCCCAACAUCGUUUAUAUCCUGCUUUUCCAGGAAUGAAAUGCCAUCUUUCUAUGUUGGUUGUGAACAUGCAUUUGGCACCUGGCAGGGCCAACCCUCAUGGCGUGUGUGUGAACACAUCCCUAAACCGUAGUCUAAUUUACCCUAUUUUUGUAGUUCACGUGAGCAGAAUCCAGUAUCUGUGUUCUUGCAUCUGGUUUUCACGCCACGUGUUUGGGGUGUGUACACAUCCGCUGUGUGUGCUGUGGACUUGAUCCAUGUCCCAUGUGCAAACGCCACCCCGCCCAGAGGCCACGCCAGGACCCAGGCCUGUGGGCCGUGGUUCCCAGUUUGCUCUUGCAAGGACGCUGUGUCCUCCUGCGUGGGAGUCCCUGCUUCGGGUCUCAUCCUGGGAGUGGAAGGCAGGUCGUGGGUGUGGCUGCGUCCUCAGCUUCUCUGGAUGAUACCCACCAAGAGGCUGGCCUGGGAACACACCGGGAGCCAGAGGGCCCAGCCGCACAGCUCCCUCGCACUGGGCUGGGCACUUGGUCACCAGCAGUUUGGGGAAUGUGUUCUCUUGGUGGUUUCAGGUGUGAGUCUGAGCAUCAACCCCGUGUCCGCUGGAUGCUGGAGUUCUUUCCUCUCUGGCGGUGUUUCUCAUCAGGGUUCCCCACCGGCCUACUGCACGCUGCGUCUCUCCUGACCUGUAGGAGUCCUCUAUGCCUCUGGCUGCUCACCUUUGUUGGUUUAAUGUUUUGCAAAUGUCUUCCUCUGUUUUGUGCUUUGCUUUUUCAUUCUUCUAAUGGAACAUGUUGCUUUACAGAAGCAUCUAGUUUUAACAGUCUUGUUUAAGACGGUGUCAACACGCACUGGGCUGGCCUGGUCCCUGAACUCAGGUGUUUCCUU